This 1530-nucleotide ribosomal RNA is filed under the name Triticum aestivum (bread wheat). Its description in RNAcentral is "partial small subunit ribosomal RNA". The record is from RNAcentral. Lineage: Eukaryota; Viridiplantae; Streptophyta; Magnoliopsida; Poales; Poaceae.
AUGCCCCGCGCGCGCGUGGUGGCCGUGGUGGGCGCAGGCGCGGCGGGGCUGGAGGCCGCACGCGAGCUGCUCCGCGAAGGCCACGCCGUCACGGUCUUCGAGCGUUCGGACCGCGUGGGCGGUACCUGGGCCUACGACCCGCGAGCCGACGAAACGGAUCCGCUGGGCGCCGCCGUCCAUGGCAGCCUGUACGCGUCGCUGCGCACGAACCUCCCGCGCGAGCUCAUGGGCUUCUCGGGCCACGAGAGCCUCGUGGGCAGGGUCUUCGCCGGGGACCCGCGCACGUUCCCGGGCCACCAGGAGGUGCUCGCCUUCCUGCGCGCGUUCGCCGAGGAGUCCGGCGUCGCCCGGCGCGUCAGUGUUAUCUCUGCCCAGGACGGCCGCCGAUGCCGUCUUGUCACGCCGAUUACCGCCUUCGCCGUUGGCUUCAAUGAGAGGCGCACCUCCAACGCCUUCACCACAUCAUGGUCGCCGGCGACACACCUUGUCGACGACUCCGGCAUGGAUGGCGAACUCCUUGCCGCCGGUGGCGCAACUUACCGGGCAGCAUGUCCUCCUUCGAUCGUGACGCAGCUUGACCUCGACAGAGAACCGGACCUCCACACACAAGGGCCUCGCGGCAACCGCGCCGCGUCGAACCUCGCCCACUCCGUAUGGGCAAGAUUGAGCCCCUCCGGCGACCCGGGGAGCGUGACAGAGCUACGCGCCGAGGUGCUGCGCGCGUCGCCACCCCUCGGUCGUCGCGGGGAAGGCGGUGAGAGGUGGAGCGUGGCGUGGCGGGGCGAGGACGGCGAGGUGGCCGUGGAGGCCUUCGACGCCGUCGUCGUCUGCAACGGGCACUGCACCGUGCCCCUCGUGCCCAAGCUCCCAGGAAUCGACAAGUGGCGAGGAAAGCAAAUGCACGCCACAAUUACCGCAUUUCCGAGCCAUUUCGAGAUCAGGAUCAACACGCGCUGGUUAAAUGUCCAUCAGGUGGAUUGCAUCCAAGACGAUGGCCAAGUGCGCUUCGCUGAAGGUGCAGCGGUCGCGGCAGACGUGAUUCUCUACUGCACAGGGUACCGUUACCACUUCCCGUUCUUGGACCUGGACGAGCUCACCGUGGACGACGAGAACCGCGUCGGGCCUCUGUACAAGCACGUCUUCCCCCCGAAGUACGCGCCGAAUCUCUCCUUCGUCGGACUGCCGGUCAAGACCAUCCUCUUCCAGUCGUUCGAACUGGAGGCCAAGUGGGUGGCGCGCGUGCUGUCCGGGAGAGCGGCUCUGCCGAGCGAGGAGGGCAUGCUGGCCGCCGUGCGGGAGCACUACCGGCGGAUGGAGGAGAGCGGGAGGCCCCGGCGCCACACGCACGCCCUCAUGCCUGAAUGGGUGGAGUAUAUGGACUGGCUGGCGGAGCAGGUCGGCGAGCGGCGGCUGGAGGCGCGGAGGCGGGACAUGUACGAGAGAGCCCUCCAGCGCGUCUGGUCUCUCGACGGGGGAUACCGUGACAGCUGCGAAGAUGAAGAAAAGGGCAGUGGCGACAGUAAAGUUUAG